RNAcentral lists this ribosomal RNA (497 nucleotides) under uncultured bacterium. RNAcentral describes it as "partial 16S ribosomal RNA". It matches the Rfam family "Bacterial small subunit ribosomal RNA", at positions 28 to 507 of the family's 1533-position model. The record is from RNAcentral.
GAUGAACGCUGGCGGCGUGCCUAAUACAUGCCAGUCGAGCGAACAGACGAGGAGCUUGCUCCUCUGACGUUAGCGGCGGACGGGUGAGUAACACGUGGAUAACCUACCUAUAAGACUGGGAUAACUUCGGGAAACCGGAGCUAAUACCGGAUAAUAUAUUGAACCGCAUGGUUCAAUAGUGAAAGACGGUUUUGCUGUCACUUAUAGAUGGAUCCGCGCCGCAUUAGCUAGUUGGUAAGGUAACGGCUUACCAAGGCAACGAUGCGUAGCCGACCUGAGAGGGUGAUCGGCCACACUGGAACUGAGACACGGUCCAGACUCCUACGGGAGGCAGCAGUAGGGAAUCUUACGCAAUGGGCGAAAGCCUGACGGAGCAACGCCGCGUGAGUGAUGAAGGUCUUCGGAUCGUAAAACUCUGUUAUUAGGGAAGAACAAAUGUGUAAGUAACUAUGCACGUCUUGACGGUACCUAAUCAGAAAGCCACGGCUAACUACGUG